GAUGAACGCUGGCGGCGGGCCUAACACAUGCAAGUCGAGCGAACAGACGAUGAGAUCGUUCUCUUGCCGUUAGCGGCGGACGGGCGGGUAACAAGUGGAUAACCAACUUAUUUUUCUGGGAUGAUUACGGAGAACAGGUGAUAAUACUGGCUAAUAUAUUGUACCGCAUGGUUCAAUAGUGAAUCACGGUUUUGCCGUUACUAAUAGACGGUUCCGCGCCGGAUUAGUUAGUUGGUAAGGUAACGGCUUACCAAGGCGACGAUGCGUAGCCGACCUGAGAGGAUGAUCGGCCACACUGGAACUGAGACACGGUCCAGACUCCUACGGGAGGCAGCAGUAGGGAAUCUUCCGCAAUGGGCGAAAGCCUGACGGAGCAACACCGCGUGAGUGAUGAAGGUCUUCGGGUCGUAAAACUCUGUUAUUGGGAAAGAACAAAAGUAUAAGUAACUCUGCACGUCUUGACGGUACCUAAUCAGAAAGCCACGGCUAACUACGUG
Molecule: ribosomal RNA, 497 nt
Filed under: uncultured bacterium
Lineage: Bacteria
Description: partial 16S ribosomal RNA
Rfam family: Bacterial small subunit ribosomal RNA
Source: RNAcentral